Molecule: ribosomal RNA, 654 nt
Filed under: uncultured bacterium
Lineage: Bacteria
Description: bacterial SSU rRNA
Rfam family: Bacterial small subunit ribosomal RNA (bases 1-539)
Source: RNAcentral
CCUACGGGAGGCAGCAGUGAGGAAUAUUGGACAAUGGGCGCAAGCCUGAUCCAGCCAUGCCGCGUGCAGGAAGAAGCAUCUAUGGUGUGUAAACUGCUUUUGUACAGGAAGAAACACUCCCUCGUGAGGGAGCUUGACGGUACUGUAAGAAUAAGGACCGGCUAACUCCGUGCCAGCAGCCGCGGUAAUACGGAGGGUCCGAGCGUUAUCCGGAAUCAUUGGGUUUAAAAGGGUCCGUAGGCGGUUUAAUAAGUCAGUGGUGAAAUCUGGUCGCUCAACGAUCAAACGGCCAUUGAUACUGUUAGACUUGAAUUAUAAGGAAGUAAACUAGAAUAUGUAGUGUAGCGGUGAAAUGCUUAGAUAUUACAUGGAAUACCAAUUGCGAAGGCAGGUUACUACUUAUGGAUUGACGCUGAUGGACGAAAGCGUGGGGAGCGAACAGGAUUAGAUACCCUGGUAGUCCACGCCGUAAACGAUGGAUACUAGCUGUUCGGAGNAUACUGAGUGGNGUAGAGAAAGUAGAGUAAGUAAGUACCACCGUACGGGGAGGGUAACGGUUCGUCGAAGAAAGUAAGUUAAAAGUUAAAAGUUAAGUUAAGUUAGGUUACGGCGUUGAGAGAGACCGAACGGACGACGAACGAAGGGAAGGAGGAG